AGGCUACCGCUAUUGGAGCUCGAUUAAGCCAUGCGAGUCGAGAGUCUUAGGGACUCGGCGUACCGCUCAGUAACACGUGGGUAACCUGCCCUAUGCUGGGGAAUAACCUCGGGAAACUGAGAAUAAUACCCCAUAGUUCACUACGCCUGGAACGGUGAGUGGAUGAAAGCCCCGGCGGCAUAGGAUGGGCCUGCGGCGUAUCAGGUCGUAGGGGGUGUAACGUACCCUCUAGCCAUCGACGCGUACGGGUGUUGGGAGACAUAGCCCGGAGAUGGAUUCUGAGACACGAAUCCAGACCCUACGGGGUGCAGCAGGCGCGAAAACUUGGCAAUGCGAGAAAUCGUGACCAGGGAACUCCAAGUGGCUGGGGUAAGACCCAGUCUUUUCUUGACUCUUCAAAGGUCUUGGAAUAAGAGGUGGGUAAGGACGGUGCCAGCCGCCGCGGUAAUACCGGCGCCUCAAGUGGUAGUCGAUUUUAUUGGGCCUAAAACGUCCGUAGCCUGUUUGGUACAUUCGUGGGUAAAUCAACCAGCUCAACUGGUUGAAUUCUGCGAGCACGGCCAGACUUGGGACCGGGAGAGGUGUGGGGUACGCUCAGGGUAGGGGUAAAAUCCUGUCAUCCUGAGCGGACCACCUGUUGCGAAGGCGCCACACUAGAACGGAUCCGACGGUCAGGGACGAAGCCUAGGGGCACGAACCGGAUUAGAUACCCGGGUAGUCCUAGGUGUAAACGCUGUGGACUUGGUGUUGGGGAUGAUCCGAUCAUUCUCAGUGCCGAAGCGAAGGUGAUAAGUCCACUGCCUGGGGAGUACGGUCGCAAGGCUGAAACUUAAAGGAAUUGGCGGGGGAGCACCGCAACCUGAGGAUUGUGCGGUUU
RNAcentral lists this ribosomal RNA (877 nucleotides) under uncultured euryarchaeote. RNAcentral describes it as "bacterial SSU rRNA". It matches the Rfam family "Archaeal small subunit ribosomal RNA", at positions 21 to 903 of the family's 1478-position model. Lineage: Archaea; Methanobacteriati; Methanobacteriota. The record is from RNAcentral.